GACGAACGCUGGCGGCGUGCUUAACACAUGCAAGUCGAACGGAAAGGCCCUGCUUUUGUGGGGUGCUCGAGUGGCGAACGGGUGAGUAACACGUGAGUAACCUGCCCUUGACUUUGGGAUAACUUCAGGAAACUGGGGCUAAUACCGGAUAGGAGCUCCUGCUGCAUGGUGGGGGUUGGAAAGUUUCGGCGGUUGGGGAUGGACUCGCGGCUUAUCAGCUUGUUGGUGGGGUAGUGGCUUACCAAGGCUUUGACGGGUAGCCGGCCUGAGAGGGUGACCGGCAACAUUGGGACUGAGAUACGGCCCAGACUCCGACGGGAGGCAGCAGUGGGGAAUAUUGCACAAUGGGCGGAAGCCUGAUGCAGAAACGCCGCGUGCGGGAUGACGGCCUUCGGGUUGUAAACCGCUUUCGCCUGUGACGAAGCGUGAGUGACGGUAAUGGGUAAAGAAGCACCGGCUAACUACGUG
RNAcentral lists this ribosomal RNA (468 nucleotides) under uncultured bacterium. RNAcentral's name for it is "partial 16S ribosomal RNA". It matches the Rfam family "Bacterial small subunit ribosomal RNA", at positions 28 to 507 of the family's 1533-position model. The record is from RNAcentral.